RNAcentral lists this long non-coding RNA (2406 nucleotides) under Crocodylus porosus (Australian saltwater crocodile). RNAcentral's name for it is "lncRNA (ENSCPRG00005000684.1)". The record is from RNAcentral. Lineage: Eukaryota; Metazoa; Chordata; Crocodylia; Crocodylidae.
GAAACAGAGUCACACAUCUGAUCCACGUGCAAAAUGACUCAAGGAGAUGGAGAGAGAAACUGCUCGGUAACAUUAAAUACAAACCAAACUUUAAUAUGAGAGUGCAGUGUAUUGGGCUAAAUUCUGCUUUGGUGUCACGCCUGAGUGUCUCCACGUGACAGAUGAACAGAUGGAGCGCUUUGUUUCGAGUCUCCAGAAAGAAACGCAGCCCUCCACCAACCCAAGGCAGAAUAAAAGAAUCUAGCAUGUGUCUGCCAGAUGGGAGGGGUAAAAGGCUCUGCAUAGCCUUGUCCCCUCAGAAAGCAGUAAGGCCCAGAUAUUUUUGUGGAAGCAAGAGGCCCCCCAGCAGGUCCAGGAAUCGGAGUCCAUGGAGCUCUCUUCAUUGCCUUGCUCUGGUCAGGGGAGGAGCCAUCUGUGGAGUUUUGUCUGAUCUUCUGCUUGGCCAGGUGAAGAGUGACCAGCUUGCCAGCCAGAUUUUUGGAAGGGGCUGUGAACAGCAGUAUUGCCAAACCCAACUGAAAAUACUCAGAAAUCAAGAGAGUCUGACUCCUCCCCACCUAGAUCAAGAGUAGCUCAAAUCUCAGGAGGCUUAAAAAAAAAGUUGGGUUGUAUUUGCCUUUCUGUUGCACUUGCCUCAGGUUUUCAAACUUUUUUUUCUGCAACCACAAGGGCUGAAAACAUAUUUUUAAAAGUGAAAUCUGAAAUUCUUAGGUAAUCACUGGAUCUCAGAUUCUGGGACUUUAAGAAAAACACCAAAUACCACAGGAUGCAUCACUGCAGCACAAUAUCUUAUGACUCUGGACAAGGACAUCAGAACUGUUUGACAGUUCAGGGUUUUUCACCUGUAUUCUGGAAGUCCAUAUAUACAGCUCAUGGUGUUCUCCAGAUUGGAGAAUCUGCAAUGACCAGAGAUCAGUUUUUGAAAAAAUUGUCAUUUUAAAUAUUUAAAUGAGUAAUGAAAUCCUUGUAGGAUCCCCUGCAUUUUUCAGUUUCAUAUUAAGUUUAGUUUGCUUGUGUUCAUGUGUUCAAAUUUCUGAGCAUGGCAGAAUUUUGGAUUGAAAAAGAAUAAUUAUUGUGGAGGAGUUCUUAGGGAGAAGAUGGAAGUCUUGGCAGUUAUAUAGGUGGAUUUGGGAUUUUUGCCAGCUGGGAAAGUGAGGGAGGGUUUGUAAGAAAAGCACAGUGGCUAUUUAUUAAAAUAAUCAUCAGUGAAAUAGUUAACAAGGUUGACCAUUAGAUUUGGAUGCCAUUGACCUGAAUGAGGAAAUGUAUACCUCUUGGAGCUAUUAUUUCAGGCUGUCUGCAAACUCGGCAAUCAUUGCUGUAUUGUUUUGCAUGUGAUUCACCUUUUAGGAAGGUUUUCUUUGCAACAAAGAGGUCUAGCAUUUAGAUAAACUUGGAUUUAGAAGCACACUUCUGUGGUAAGGAAUGGAUCUACUUCAAAUUUCUAUGGCCAUCAGAUUAAAGAACCUGCUUUUAAGGAAAUCUUAUUGCAUUGCUUCUUAUGUGCUUGCUAUAUAAGCUAAUGCUUUGCAUUGGAGAGCUCUGGGGAAUAGUGUAAACUGAUAGUGUUAAAACUAAAUACUGAGAUUUCAGUCCUCAGUGGUUUUUAGUCUCAUUGGUUUCUAGAUUCAUAGUGAACCUGAGUCUUCAACCAACCAAGUUUUUGUGUGCAUGCAUGUUUCUGACAGCCAUAUUUAUAAAAGUUAAGCGUGUGUGUGUGUUUCCAAAUAACGUAUGUUACAAUUUCCAUUUCUUGUUAUGCGACAGUCAAGGUUCUCAACACUGGUGUUAAGUAUCACGUGAAACUGAACAAGAAAAAUGCAGCUUUGCAUCAGAUAGUCAGGGAUAGUUUAUUUCCAGUGACAGUUUUGCUUGGGCAAACCACCCAACCUGCUAGCUCAGUUCCUUUCAACCAACAGGUUUAUCGGGUGCAAAUUACUUGAGGAGGAGCAAAGGAGAGCGGUGACUUAUUUCUUACAUCUCAAUCGUAUUUCCACCUAUGUUUCCUCAGGGGGAGGAAGGUAAGAGGGUGGCAGAAGACAGGGGAAAAGAGAUGCAGAAAGAUGAAGAGGGGAGAGAGAAAAAGGAGAGAAGGGAAAAGGAACCUACAUUUGAAAGUUCAGUUCACUGUGCAGUAGGAACUGUUACAAAAGUUUGUAUAAAAUCAGUGUUUGUCUGUCUGUAGCUUGUGUGUGUAUAUGUGCGUGCACUUGUAUAAAGAUGUCAUGAAGAUCACUAUCUAGUGCCAUGCAAAAAUAACAGCGAUUGUUGUAUUGCUUGUAAGUUUGUAGAUUCAGUAAAAUUAUUAUUAGGCAUUGUGUAUGGUGCCAUGUGCACAACUAAGAGGCCUAUAGCAGAGUUUAAGUGGAGAAUAAAAGAAAUGAAGAAGGAGGGAAAGUAUUGAAG